Molecule: ribosomal RNA, 770 nt
Filed under: uncultured bacterium
Lineage: Bacteria
Description: bacterial SSU rRNA
Rfam family: Bacterial small subunit ribosomal RNA
Source: RNAcentral
CCUGGGAACUGCGUUNUGAACUGGGUAGCUAGAGUAUGUCAGAGGGGGGUAGAAUUCCACGUGUAGCAGUGAAAUGCGUAGAGAUGUGGAGGAAUACCGAUGGCGAAGGCAGCCCCCUGGGAUAAUACUGACGUUCAUGCUCGAAAGCGUGGGUAGCAAACAGGAUUAGAUACCCUGGUAGUCCACGCCCUAAACGAUGUCGAUUAGCUGUUGGGCAACUUGAUUGCUUAGUAGCGUAGCUAACGCGUGAAAUCGACCGCCUGGGGAGUACGGUCGCAAGAUUAAAACUCAAAGGAAUUGACGGGGACCCGCACAAGCGGUGGAUGAUGUGGAUUAAUUCGAUGCAACGCGAAGAACCUUACCUGGUCUUGACAUGUACGGAACCUUCCAGAGACGGAAGGGUGCCUUCGGGAACCGUAACACAGGUGCUGCAUGGCUGUCGUCAGCUCGUGUCGUGAGAUGUUGGGUUAAGUCCCGCAACGAGCGCAACCCUUGUCAUUAGUUGCCAUCAUUUAGUUGGGCACUCUAAUGAGACUGCCGGUGACAAACCGGAGGAAGGUGGGGAUGACGUCAAGUCCUCAUGGCCCUUAUGACCAGGGCUUCACACGUCAUACAAUGGUCGGUACAGAGGGUAGCCAAGCCGCGAGGUGGAGCCAAUCCCAGAAAACCGAUCGUAGUCCGGAUUGCACUCUGCAACUCGAGUGCAUGAAGUCGGAAUCGCUAGUAAUCGCAGGUCAGCAUACUGCGGUGAAUACGUUCCCGGGUCUUGU